UUUUUUUUUUUUUUAAUCCUUUUUAAGAAGGAACUGGUGCACAGGUUUCUUAUCUUGUCAUAGAUUGGUGCUCUGCAUCGUACAGUUCUAGCCAUAUUAGCUCCCCUUCUCUUCCUCAAAAAAUGCCAAUUUCCUCCUCAUCUUAUUCCCAAGGGGGCUUACCCUUAGUUGGGGGACUCAGCUCCAUCUCCAAAUGCCCCUCCUCAGGUUUUCCUGCACAGCCUCUCUAAAGCAGCCACACUCAACCUCAGUGCUCCCCGUCACAUGAGUUUUUUCCUUUCCCAACAUUGAUCAUCUUUUUGUUUAUCUGUACACUUGUUUUCUGUCCUCCUUAUUCACCGCUAAACCCAAAGCCUCCAGCUCAGCCAUGGUACUUGGAGGCUCUCUGACUUGAGCUGAAUAAAUGAAUUGGGGGGCAGAGAGUGAAGCACAGACAUGUAUGGCUUAUUCUACAUAUCGUUGCUGCUGUGGCACAGGGGGAUUAAGAAUCUGACUGCAGCAGCUCAGGUUACUGUGGAAGCACGGGUUCAAUCUCUGGCCCAGCACAGUGGGUUAAAGGAGGCCAUGUUGUAACAGCUGCAGCUCAGAUUCAAUCCCUGGCCUGGGAAUUUCCAUAUGCUGUGGGUGCAGCCAUUAAAAAAAAAAAAAGCAAUGACUUCAUUCCCCCUCCAUAGCCUCCUGUGAGAGCCCUAGUACUGACUGUUAGGCAUCACGUGGUGUUUUUCCAUCUUGUGCCAAGGCCAUGUGAUGGGAAGCUUGUUAAAGUCAUCAGGUAAGUGUCAUGGCAUCAAAGCUUCAAAUGACUCUUUAAAUCAUCCAAAAAAGCCCAGCCCCUGCUCAACUGGUGCUCAAAAACUGAGCCAUCUCUUCCGACUGAAACAAAAAUCUUGCUGGUGGAACAGUAACAGAUAACAGGGCCUGAGUGGCUACAUUGUAUAAUGGCUGCUGUUCUUCCUAUCCUGCCUAGGCCCGCCUACACCUGGAAUCUAAAUUCUCCUUUGGCUUCACAAGAGUCAAAAGUUAGAUGCUACUGGGCCUGGUGUUUAGAGUAGCAGAGACUCUGGAAAACCUGAAAGCCCAUGCUCCACCAAAAACCACAGGGAUUAGCCAGCUCUAACAAAAUAUGAUAAUGCAGGAAUACCAGCCCAGAAAUUGUCAGCUCUUCUUAAUUUCAAGAGAAAAUGGAAAUCUCCGUGAAGGGAUGAAGGUAGGGAAGGGAUGUAUAUGAGUAUGAAUAAACAUCAAAUUCAACUAAAAUCCUAUUUAUUUAGUUCAUACUGUGUCCAAGUCACUUUCCUAGGCAUCUAUACACAUCCUAGAUAUGGCUACUUAUCAAAAGUAAAAAGGAAUAAGAGCUGGGAUCCAUGGACUCCAAAAGCUUUAAUCUUACCAGAAAACCAAGACAUGUUCUUAAGUAAAUAGAGCCUAAGACAAUACAGGGAAUGCUAGGUAUUAAAUCAGUAAAUGUGUAUAAAGCACAAAACAGUCUUGACACAAGUGUUGUCUCCUAGUGUUGACUACUGUUAGUGGUACCAUGACAUUAUCAUUUCAACAAUGACCUCGGGAUUACUCUUGACCUAGGGAACUGGAGAAGGCCUGACUCAAAGUCUUGCACAUAUCAGGGACUCAACAGGCAGAACCUGAAUGAAUGAGUGCUUGGUGAGAGAACAGCCUAUGAGUUGGAACUUAAAGGAUUUUAACAUAUGAAGAAAGAAAGGAGGCUGAGGCAAAAGGAACGAGGGAGCUAGAAGGAUAAAGGCAUCCAGAAGCAUGAACAUAGUUCAUGUUAGUCGGAACAUGAGGAACAAGAAGAGGGGGCAAGGAUGGAAAAAUAAAGACACCAUGGAGAGCCCUGAAUGCUACCCAAGACUCCACGUGGACCACAACAGGCACCUGAAUUCCAUGUAAAGCCUGCUCACUGGCAUACAUGACUAUGCACACCAAAGGGAGACCCAUUUUCAAAAGCAGUUCCAAAUUUUAAGAAACUGAGGACACAGAGAACAGCGUUUCAUAUGCAUGCCUGCCUUUAUGUAGUUUACAUCAUGCUAUCCUAGCUAUACGACCUCGCUCAUUAUGUACUUAAGCCUUAUAGCUCUUCAUCGGAAAAUGGUGGUGACAUGUCUAUCAAGCACAAAUGGUGGAAAUGAGAUCAUCCACAUAAAUGCAGGGACUUUUGAAUUGCUUUACAAAGUAAAAUGCUCCAUAAAUGUUGCCUACUUGUUAUGAUUUGUGGUGAUGUAUUAUACAGAGAAGUAAAACAGAAGAAAAUGCCUUACUUGGGCCUCUAUGGUUUGUGAGCGGUGGUGUUGAUAUGGGUCCUGUGACGCAGUCUCAUAUGUUCUAGGAUGCUAUGUGCUGCCCCAGAGGCCAAGGGACAUUCACUCUGGGACUUGUAGCCCAGCCCUGUCCCCAGUGCCCCCCAGGCCUCAGGGCUCCUGCAGCCCCACCUCUCACCCUUGCACAAGGACAAAGGGGCCUCUCUCCACAGCCUAGGCACUCAAAGUGAGCAUACUGCUAUGAAACCACCGUCUGUCCCCACCAUACAGCCCCACCCCUCUCUCUAGUUACUCAUGAAUUCCUUCUCUAAGAAGGAAGGUCCCCUCUUGACACAAGAGUCUCAUUUCUCCAAAGCCACUUCCUCGGCACCAUGAGAAAAGAGAAGUGGUUUUUUGGUAGUUGUUCACAGAGGUGUAAAAUGUGUGGGUAUCUGGAGUUGAGUUAAGGUUGAGUCAUGGGGAACUUGUACCCAGACAUGAUUUUUAAUGAGUUGGGCCCACAAUACCACCAACAGAUUAAAAUAACUUUGAUUCUUAGAUGAUUUAAAUGGCCUCUGGUCAUCCAAAACAAUACUGAGGUUCACCACUUACCAGGUCAUAUAUGAGUGUGAACUCCUUGCAAAAAUCAAAUCAGACUUUAAAAUGGAGAGUUACAAGUUCCCACUGUGGCUCAGCGGGUUAAGAAUAUAACACAGUGUCUGUGAGGAUACGGGUUAGACCCCUCGCCUCCCUCAGUGGGUUAAGGAUCCAGUAUUGCUGCAAGCCAAGGUAUAGGUCACAGCUGUAGCUUGGAUCCAGAGCUAUGUCUGUGGCAUAGGCCUCAGCUAUAGCCCUGAUUCAACCCCUAGCCCAGGAACUUCCAUAUGCUGU
Molecule: long non-coding RNA, 3146 nt
Filed under: Sus scrofa (pig)
Lineage: Eukaryota; Metazoa; Chordata; Mammalia; Artiodactyla; Suidae
Description: lncRNA (ENSSSCG00000059009.1)
Source: RNAcentral